Pleurotus ostreatus (oyster mushroom) is the source of this 93-nucleotide non-coding RNA. Lineage: Eukaryota; Fungi; Basidiomycota; Agaricomycetes; Agaricales; Pleurotaceae. The record is from the annotation of a RefSeq genome assembly.
GAACCUUUGGCGCAGUGGUAGCGCGUGUGAUUCCAGUGGCCCUCGUUUCCCGGAAUAUCCACAAGGUCGUCCGUUCAAUCCGGGCAAGGUUCA